RNA transcript from Mizuhopecten yessoensis (Yesso scallop), 2782 nucleotides. RefSeq lists it as uncharacterized. The record is from RefSeq and is a predicted model, not a curated record. The transcript is spliced from 7 exons. NCBI's taxonomy places the organism in Eukaryota, Metazoa, Mollusca, Bivalvia, Pectinida, Pectinidae.
AGUACAAUACACAUCCCUGAUCCGUCACGGGAAUCUGAGAGUAACGUCCCUUGCAUUGCUCUCCGGGAGAUGACAGGGAGGCGAGUUUGUCUUAUACGGAUGUAAACACGAGCGCGGAAGAUGUGGAAAUGAACAACAUUCAAAGUAAAUAUCCGUGCAAUGUGAUUCUAGCAUACAUUAACAUUAAUAGUUUGCGUUACAAAUUCAGUGCACUCAGUGAUGUGUUACAUAAUUCCCUCGCUGACAUCCUGAUCGUAGGCGAGACGAAACUAAACGACUCGUUCAAUCAGGCCCAUUUUGAAACCACAGGUUUCAGGGUUUUUAGGAAGGUUGGAACUGGACAUGGUGGUGGUCUCAUGUGUUUUGUUAAUUCCCACCUCCCCUGCAGAAGAAGACCAGAUCUUGAGUCAACUUUAGUCGAGAGCGUAGUAGUUGAGGUCACUAUUAAUAAUCCCUUCCGACCAGGAUUUGGGUGUCAAUCCACCCUGUUGCGACUUGUUGAGGAUUGGCGUAGAGCCCUGGACAACCAUGAGUAUGUCGCUGUCAUACUGAUGGACCUAUCCAAGGCUUUGACUGUCUUCCUCAUAACUUGUUGGUCGGGAAGCUGGAGACCUAUGGCCUGAGCAAAGCCUCAUGAUCAGUUAACCUGGCGUCCAUCUACCUGAGCAACAGGAAGUAGCAGAGAACACCAACUUGUUUGUUAUGACGCACACGAUGUCCUAAACAGUGACUCUACAAUAGCGACCCUCUGGACGGUGUUCAAGAAGGAAGGAAAUGUCAUCUACUUUAAAGCCAAGGUGAAUUCCCGUCGAAUUCCAUAUCAAGAAGUGGGAAGGUCUAGGCUGAAUUGGGGUAAUGGAGAGUAUUACUCACAUUGAUGUACAUGUAUAAUUAUGGUACAGGGUACACCGACUUGUCAGCUGUGACGCACACCAUGUCCUAGACAGUGACUCUACAAUGGCGUCCUCCUGAACGGUGUUCAAGAAGGAAGGAAAAUUCAACUACUGAAAAGCCAGGGUAUUUCUAUAAGAUAAACUUCCUGGUUGCGACUGAUACUCCUUGUGUCAGCAAUAAUAUUGAAGCAGGAGGUGAAGUAAGUCAGGACACAACUAUCAUAGUAUAUUUAGGCGCGGUAAAUAUCUAUCAUCGAAAACCAGAUCGUACCUGUCAGCUAUGAAGCACACAACAUCCUAAGGAUUGACUCUUUCAUGGUGUCCUUCUGAAAGUUUUCGUCAGAAUUGGUUUCCAUCAAAAGGCUAAGGUAUGGUACAUUUUGUAUAUUGUAGUUUCAUAAAUGUUCGCUGUUUUUUCAAGCUGAAACUUGAAGGAUGCUUGUCGUGACAAUAGCUGUGUCAAAUAAAUACGAAAGACAGUGUAGCUAUCAAUUGAAGCUGUCGACUGCUAUGUAUAGCUGUUUCGUAAUCCAUAAAGGUAUAUUUUAAAUAUCUUGUUGAAAUCUAUGAACGAAUAGAUUAACAGUUUAUAGUGUAAUCAGUUACUUGAUAACCUUACUGCAGGUGUUUCUUAUUGUUUUGAUAUAUGAUUUAAAUCUCCAUUUAGUACAGGAACAGGUAAUCUUAAUAUUGAGUUGAGGGAAAAUAUCCAUUAACCAUCUCUUUCAAAAGUGUCAUUCAUGAGCGGUAACUCUGACAACACACAUGGGAUCUGCACACUUAAAUUGGUGUUCAAUACGUAUUGUUACGUUACUCUAGGCGUUGCAUUCCUAUGUUCCGUUCAAAGCUACAGUUGGGAGCAAACUUAAUUUGGUAACUAGUGCACUUCGUAGUGCACAUGUAGUGAACAAGGAAGUGCACUAGACAAACAUUGAAGUGCACUCUAGUUCACUUCAGUGUUUACUCCAUUGCACGAUGAUGUUAGCUCCAGUGCAUAACGAUGUGAACCCCAGUGCACUAGUGUUAACUAAAGUUUAAAAGACUGUAAUACAAAUUUCAAUAAUUGUUUAUAAUAAACUAGCUCACUCAUGAUUUCAUAAACAUUUUAUUGAGAAUUUCACUAUAUCUAUAAAAAAAUAAUCUCUGAUUAAUCAUAUUUCAACUGGACAUACACUUGUACAAAGAAAAACUGUACGCUAUAUAUUAUAUGUUGAUUACAGAAAAUAUAUAAAUAGUUGUAUUAUUAGGAAAAUAGUUAAAAAGAUAACCUGAUCAUAGUUUAAUUCCCAUCACAUUUAAUAUCAAUAUUGUAGUGUCAGGAUGGGGGAUCAGUAACUGUUAUGUGAUAUGGAUAAAUACUUUUUUUAUGAAAGGUUUCUCACUUUCAGGACAUCAAUAGAGUAAUUUCUUUGUUUUAUUAAAAAGGUCAAUGACUUCAUUAGUUCCGUCUCAUAUACAGCACUAAAACAUAUGUAUUACAAGUUUUAUACAAAAAAAACCAAAACAUUCCAGAUACAUCUUAUAUCAUUACAUUGCACUGUAUAAACACAAGUAACAGCUCAAGCUAUCGAUGUGGAAUUAAUUAAAGCCCGUUAAUCCAACGUUGUCUUCUGUUAGGAAAAUGAAGACAAAACAAUCCAUAAGUCAGUCUGAUUUAUAUUGCUUUGUUACAUAUGUAUACACGUCACGUACAUGUACAUGCUGAUUUUUUAAUAAGAAAAUCCACCCCCCCUACCGCCAACCCCUACCUGGGUCUACUGUGUUCCCCACAACAAUGUAGCAGGUAUACAGCUGGCCUGGUGUUACAUUAAUGAAUUACCAGUUGUUAGAAUGAUGACAACAUUCAUAGUUAAAGGGCGUAAACAUAUGUAGAUUAAGUUUUAUACAGG